Molecule: unclassified non-coding RNA, 181 nt
Filed under: fungal sp.
Lineage: Eukaryota; Fungi
Also listed under: 1 other name
Description: partial internal transcribed spacer region
Rfam family: Eukaryotic small subunit ribosomal RNA (bases 1-46)
Source: RNAcentral
AAGUCGUAACAAGGUUUCCGUAGGCGAACCUGCGGAAGGAUCAAUUCUGAGUUUGUCUCUGUAUCAGUGGAUCUGGUACAGGGCAUCUCCCAUUCUUGUGAUUUAUUCAAAGGCCCAUACGGGUUUUUCUUCAAAAUCUUCUUGAAAUUUAAAACUUUCAACAACGGAUCUCUUGGUUCUG